CCUACGGGAGGCAGCAGUGAGGAAUAUUGGUCAAUGGGCUUACGCCUGAACCAGCCAAGUCGCGUGAGGGAAGACUGCCCUAUGGGUUGUAAACCUCUUUUGUCAGGGAGCAAUUGGCGCUACGUGUAGCGUUAUCGAGAGUACCUGAAGAAAAAGCAUCGGCUAACUCCGUGCAAGCAGCCGCGGUAAUACGGAGGAUGCGAGCGUUAUCCGGAUUUAUUGGGUUUACAGGGUGCGUAGGCGGAAUGCCACGUCAGCGGUAAAAUCGGGGGGCUCAACCUCGCUCCGACGGUGAAACUGGCGUUGUUGGGUGGGCGAGAAGAAGGCGGAAUGCGUGGUGUAGCGGUGAAAUGCAUAGA
Molecule: ribosomal RNA, 359 nt
Filed under: uncultured bacterium
Lineage: Bacteria
Description: partial 16S ribosomal RNA
Rfam family: Bacterial small subunit ribosomal RNA
Source: RNAcentral